UAGCAUCGGUAGAGGACGGUUGUGUUGUAGUUUAGGAGAUAUCGCAGUGUUUGUUUACAAAAUCAUAGCAUCAAUAUGUCUGAUCAUAACGGAACCAACAACAACAUGUAUAUUACAAAUACAUACCAUGUAAGAAGUGAUGCGGUGCAGAUUGGAAAUGGUCAAAAUACAUUACACAUCAACAAUCAGCUACGGGAGGAGGUGGGUGAACUAAGAGAAGAGGUGGAUGAGUUAAAAGAAAGGGUCAGACAACUGGAGGCUAAAUUACAGACUAAUACUGAUACAAACACUGAGGAGCCAGAAUAUCAGAUGAAUGAGAGAAUGACCGCGUUAGAAUAUAACAAUGUACAUACAAACACUGAGGAACCAGAAUAUCCGAUGGGUGACGACGAGGAGGAGGAGGAUGGGGAUAUGAUUACUCUGAAAAUUCAUUAUAUGAAUGGUAAUAUGACUAUAAGUAUAAGUAGAAGUAAAACUGUUGGUGAACUAGAACAGAUAAUACAGGAAUAUAGAAGAAGUAAGUAUGGUGGAGAUGCUGGUGGUGGUGGUAUUGGUAGUAUCUACAAUGUAAAACAGAAUCAGUACAUCUACCUAUUCUGCAACAACAAUAUCAAACAUCUACCAUUGUCUUAUUACGGUGUAGAGGGGGAUGAUAUAGUUCGGUUGUGGUGAUAGUGUCUGGCAGUGGUGGCGGAAGUAGUCUCUUUGAUUGGAUUGACUUUUAAAGUAGUUUGAUUGUAUUGAGUUAAAUCAUACAAUGUUAAAAUCAUGUCGACUUGGUAUUAAAAUUUAAAUGUUAAUUGACAAUUUUAUAUUUGUAUCGUAUAUAAUUACAGCUACUGUAUUUAAAAGAGAGAGAGAGAGAGAGAGAGAGAGAGAGAGAGAGAGAGAGAGAGAAAUGGGGUUUAACGUCCACUCGACACAAACUAGGUCAUUUCGGGACUAACAUAUGGUUUAAUUUUAUUUCAAUAAUUCGCUUGCGCGUAGGGGUCUUUAGCAGUGGGAGGAAACCGGAGGACCCGGAGAAAACCCACGAGGUUGGACAGGCAACCCUACUCCUUGUCACGUACAACCGGGGAUUCGACUGUAUUUAAAAUAUACAUCUUUCAUGUAGAGUCUAUUAGUAUACAUUUCAUACUGUACCAUUCUCGUCCAACAACUAGAUACAACCAUCGCGGCCCCCACACCAUACGCUCUCGGCUAACAAAGGGAUAGAUCCAAGGAUCUACCCGUUGGUGACCCAGUGGCUUACUCAUUGACCCCCCCCCCACCUCCAAACGCACCCAGUGUAUUACUCACUGAGCCACAGCGGUCCCCCUUUUCUCCAGAAUUCUCGUCCAACAACUGAGUGGGCCAAGAACAUGGAAAAUUGGUAAUUGCCUUGUAUCACUGCUAACUAUAAGGCACAGGGAGCCUUGGGCAGAAAUGAUAAUAAUAUGGUUCUCAGAUAUGUUACUGUGUACAGACUGAACAAAAAAUAUAUAUACACUUGCUAUUACAUGUACAUUAUAUCAUUGGCAAUAAUAAGAUCCAAUUUUAGUUUUUAGUUACACACUGUUAACCACCAAUAGAUGAAAAUAAAUCAUAAAAUGUA
Molecule: long non-coding RNA, 1594 nt
Organism: Patella vulgata (common limpet)
Lineage: Eukaryota; Metazoa; Mollusca; Gastropoda; Patellidae
Exons: 4
Source: RefSeq, a predicted model, not a curated record